This 668-nucleotide ribosomal RNA is filed under the name Providencia rettgeri. RNAcentral describes it as "partial 23S ribosomal RNA". It matches the Rfam family "Bacterial large subunit ribosomal RNA", at positions 2263 to 2925 of the family's 2925-position model. The record is from RNAcentral. Lineage: Bacteria; Pseudomonadati; Pseudomonadota; Gammaproteobacteria; Enterobacterales; Morganellaceae.
GGGUAGUUUGACUGGGGCGGUCUCCUCCCAAAGAGUAACGGAGGAGCACGAAGGUUGGCUAAGCAUGGUCGGACAUCAUGCGGUUAGUGCAAAGGCAUAAGCCAGCUUGACUGCGAGAGUGACGGCUCGAGCAGGUACGAAAGUAGGUCUUAGUGAUCCGGUGGUUCUGAAUGGAAGGGCCAUCGCUCAACGGAUAAAAGGUACUCCGGGGAUAACAGGCUGAUACCGCCCAAGAGUUCAUAUCGACGGCGGUGUUUGGCACCUCGAUGUCGGCUCAUCACAUCCUGGGGCUGAAGUAGGUCCCAAGGGUACGGCUGUUCGCCGUUUAAAGUGGUACGCGAGCUGGGUUUAGAACGUCGUGAGACAGUUCGGUCCCUAUCUGCCGUGGGCGUUGGAAGAUUGAAAGGGGCUGCUCCUAGUACGAGAGGACCGGAGUGGACGCACCACUGGUGUUCGGGUUGUCAUGCCAAUGGCAUUGCCCGGUAGCUAAGUGCGGAAGAGAUAACCGCUGAAAGCAUCUAAGCGGGAAACUUGCCUUGAGAUGAGUCUUCCCUGACUCUUUAAGGGUCCUAAAGGAACGUUUAAGACUAAGACGUUGAUAGGUUGGGUGUGUAAGCGUAGCGAUACGUUGAGCUAACCAAUACUAAUGAACCGUGAGGCUUAACCUG